This 253-nucleotide ribosomal RNA is filed under the name uncultured bacterium. RNAcentral's name for it is "partial 16S ribosomal RNA". It matches the Rfam family "Bacterial small subunit ribosomal RNA", at positions 524 to 776 of the family's 1533-position model. The record is from RNAcentral.
UACGUAGGUGGCGAGCGUUGUCCAGAUUUAUUGGGCGUAAAGCGCGCGCAGGCGGUCCGUUACGUCCGUUGUGAAAGCUCCCGGCUCAACUGGGAGAGGUCUUCGGAUACGGGCGGACUCGAGGAAGGUAGAGGAAGGUGGAAUUCCCGGUGUAGUGGUGAAAUGCGUAGAGAUCGGGAGGAACACCAGUGGCGAAGGCAGAUCUCUGGGCCGUAACUGACGCUGAGACGCGAAAGCGUGGGGAGCAAACAGG